CCUACGGGAGGCAGCAGUGGGGAAUAUUGGACAAUGGGGGAAACUCUGAUGCAGCGACGCCGCGUGAAGGAAGACGUAUUUAGGAAUUGAAAACUGUUUUAGCAGGGAAGAAAAUCACGGUACCUGUUUAAGAAGCCCCGGAUAACUAGGUGCAAGAAGCCGCGGUAAUACGUAGGGGGCAAGCGUUAUACGGAUUUACUGGGUGUAAAGGGGGCGUAGACGGCAGGACAAGUCAGGAGUGAAAUGCCGGGGUUCAACUCCGGAACUGCUUUUGAAACUGUGCAGCUAGAGUGCAGGUGAGGUAAGUGGAAUUCCUGGUGUAGCGGUGAAAUGCAUAGAUAUUAGGAGGAACACCGGUUGCGAAGGCAGCUUACUGGACUGUAACUGACGUUGAGGCUCGAAAGCGUGGGGAGCAAACAGGAUUAGAUACCCUUGUAGUC
RNAcentral lists this ribosomal RNA (440 nucleotides) under uncultured bacterium. Its description in RNAcentral is "partial 16S ribosomal RNA". It matches the Rfam family "Bacterial small subunit ribosomal RNA", at positions 338 to 795 of the family's 1533-position model. The record is from RNAcentral.